ACGGUUCAAUUACACGUGGAUAACCUGCCCUCAGGUCUGGCAUACCCCCGGGAAACUGGGGAUAAUUCCGGAUAACGCAUAUAUGCUGGAAUGCUUUAUGCGUCAAAGGUCCUCCGCCUGAGGAUGGGUCUGCGGCCUAUCAGGUAGUAGCGGGUGUAAUGUACCUGCUAGCCGACGACGGGUACGGGUUGUGAGAGCAAGAGCCCGGAGAUGGAUUCUGAGACAUGAAUCCAGGCCCUACGGGGCGCAGCAGGCGCGAAAACUUUACAAUGCGGGAAACCGUGAUAAGGGGACACCGAGUGCCAGCAACAUUUGCUGGCUGUCCAGGUGUGUAAACUACACCUGUUAGCAAGGGCCGGGCAAGACCGGUGCCAGCCGCCGCGGUAACACCGGCGGCCCGAGUGGUGAUCGUUAUUAUUGGGUCUAAAGGGUCCGUAGCCGGUUUAGUCAGUCCUCCGGGAAAUCUGUCAGCUCAACUGAUAGGCUAUCGGGGGAUACUGCUAGACUUGGAACCGGGAGAGGUAAGAGGUACUACAGGGGUAGGAGUGAAAUCUUGUAAUCCCUGUGGGACCACCUGUGGCGAAGGCGUCUUACCAGAACGGGUUCGACGGUGAGGGACGAAAGCUGGGGGCACGAACCGGAUUAGAUACCCGGGUAGUCCCAGCCGUAAACGAUGCUCGCUAGGUGUCAUGCAUGGUGCGACCGUGUAUGGUGCCGUAGGGAAGCCGUGAAGCGAGCCACCUGGGAAGUACGGCCGCAAGGCUGAAACUUAAAGGAAUUGGCGGGGGAGCAC
This 793-nucleotide ribosomal RNA is filed under the name uncultured archaeon. RNAcentral's name for it is "bacterial SSU rRNA". It matches the Rfam family "Archaeal small subunit ribosomal RNA", at positions 85 to 879 of the family's 1478-position model. The record is from RNAcentral.